Orussus abietinus is the source of this 1156-nucleotide long non-coding RNA. RefSeq lists it as uncharacterized. The transcript has 3 exons. Lineage: Eukaryota; Metazoa; Arthropoda; Insecta; Hymenoptera; Orussidae. The record is from RefSeq and is a predicted model, not a curated record.
GGCGAUCUCGACGCGCGGCACUCCAGAGAACGAGUUCAAUUACAGAAGAAAAAAAAAGAGCGGAAAGGAAACCCACGGCGACAUGCACCGCAACAAACUGUACCCGAAGAGUUAACGGAAUCCGCGACGCAGAGGAAGGUCGAGCAAUAGCCAUUUCCUCGGUCCGGCAGGACACGCAGAUGCAUGUCGCAGGUGUGAUAAACCCCUUUCACGAGUGCAAGCCGAGGCCCUCGACGUGUAUCUCGUGCGAUGCUGAGUUUGCGCCUACGUCACCAGUUCCCUGUAAUUUGCCCGUGCGAAAUUGUAGUCCCACUGUCAUCCGGGGAGGAUAUACCGAAGACGUCUCCAGGCGAUUGCGGACGGUUAAUUAUUGCGCUAAUUAAACCGCGAAUCGCCCUAGGUCGGAAGCAUUAAGUAAUAAUUUUUAGUUGGAAAAUUUCAUCGAGGAGGCGCUCUCGAUAGGUGGCGUUGUAUCUCCUUAUACUAAUUCGUGGGUCGUAAGGUAAUAGCUUUCCGGGGCGUCUGUUGGCUCUUCGGGGCGAACGCGGUAUUUAUUACCGAACAAAGUCGAUUUAUGUCACCUCUCCUUUCAGCCGCAGGUGCGGCGUGGACCCUUCUCCUCGAAUACGUCUCAAUUGCAAAGAGCGGCCGGCUGGGUCGUGCAUUUUAAUUAGGACAUCGCACACGAGGCAACGUAUCGCUUUCGCGGGACGAUAUCCUCGCAAAGGGAGGUCCUCUUUCUUCCUCUCUCUCUCUCUCUCUCGGAUAGAAGUCGACGCAUCCGCCGCGGGAGAGCGCGAUUCGCUCUCGCAAAGGGCUUUUCACCGUGGGCGACGUUCCAUUUAAUUAAGUCGGUAUUGUCUCGGCGAGAUCGCUGGUACGCGCGACUCCGCCGGAACGUCCCGUCCCCGCGACUCCUUGGGGACGCUGUCGUUUAACCAGAUCACGGGGAAUUAAUCCAGGACGAAUCCCGGGAAGUUCUUAUUGGCUCGUAAUGAAGCCAGGACGAGGCAGUCACUUUGGGAUCGAGGAAGGACCGGGAGUGCGCUCGUUACGAGUCCGAAGAUUAAGCAAAAGGUUUUCACGCAUCACGGGGCUUAACGAGAGCGCGGCCCGCGUAAUUUUUACUUCUGCAGCGGGCAAAGCCCCUCGUCAU